GUGCUCCUUCCUUCCCCAGCACUGUACAAAAAUCAAACAACACAGAGAUUAGCACGGCCUCUAUGCAAGGAUGACAUGGAAUUUUGCAAAACAGUCCGUAUUAAA
Molecule: small nuclear RNA, 105 nt
Organism: Meriones unguiculatus (Mongolian gerbil)
Lineage: Eukaryota; Metazoa; Chordata; Mammalia; Rodentia; Muridae
Source: Ensembl